GCGAGAAUAUUCGACAAUGGACGAAAGUCUGAUCGAGCGACGCCGCGUGUACGAUGAAGUUUUUCGGAAUGUAAAGUACUUUUAUGAGGGAAGAACGUUGGCGGUACCUCAUGAAUAAGUGGUUGCUAACUCUGUGCCAGCAGCAGCGGUAAUACAGAGACCACAAGCGUUAUCCGGAAUUAUUGGGCGUAAAGGGUGAGUAGGUGGUAUUGUUAGUCGGGUUUGAAAGAUCGUGGGCUCAACCCAUGAUAUGGACCCGAAACGGCAAAACUAGAAUAUGUAAGAGGUUAGUGGAACUAUAUGUGUAGGGGUAAAAUCCGUUGAUAUAUAUGGGAACACCUAAAGCGAAGGCAGCUAACUGGUACAUUAUUGACACUGAAUCACGAAAGCGUGGGUAGCGAUACGGAUUAGAUACCCGCGUAGUCCCUGAGCGGGCUGGCAAGGCGCAU
This 449-nucleotide ribosomal RNA is filed under the name uncultured bacterium. RNAcentral describes it as "bacterial SSU rRNA". It matches the Rfam family "Bacterial small subunit ribosomal RNA", at positions 355 to 825 of the family's 1533-position model. The record is from RNAcentral.